This 408-nucleotide ribosomal RNA is filed under the name uncultured bacterium. RNAcentral's name for it is "partial 16S ribosomal RNA". It matches the Rfam family "Bacterial small subunit ribosomal RNA", at positions 28 to 526 of the family's 1533-position model. The record is from RNAcentral.
GACGAACGCUGGCGGCGUGCUUAACACAUGCAAGUCGAACGAAGUGGCGAACGGGUGAGUAACGUGUAAUCAACCUGCCCUUCAGUGGGGGACAACAGUUGGAAACGACUGCUAAUACCGCUUAAUGAAGGAGGGGUUUGCGUCUGAUUAGCUGGUUGGAGGGUUAACGGCCCACCAAGGAGAGGAUCAGUAGCAGGUCUGAGAGGGGGAACGGCAACAUAGGGAAGGAGAAGCGGCCCAGACACCAACGGGGGGCAGUAGUGGGGAAUCUACCGCAAUGGACGGAAGACUGACGGAGCAACACCGCGUGAGUGGUGACGGCCUUCGGGUUGUAAAGCUGUGUUAAUCGGGACGCGGUACCGGAAUAGAAAGCCACGGCUAACUACGUGCCAGCCGCCGCGGGAAUAC